This 72-nucleotide transfer RNA is filed under the name Bos taurus (domestic cattle). It matches the Rfam family "tRNA". Rfam says of the family: Transfer RNA (tRNA) molecules are approximately 80 nucleotides in length. Their secondary structure includes four short double-helical elements and three loops (D, anti-codon, and T loops). Lineage: Eukaryota; Metazoa; Chordata; Mammalia; Artiodactyla; Bovidae. RNAcentral also lists the same sequence under 2 other names. The record is from Rfam by way of RNAcentral.
UCCCUGGUGGCUCAGAUGGUAAAGCAUCUGUCUGCAAUGUGGAAGACCCUGGUUCAAUCCCUGAUUUGGGAA